CCCUUACUUCCUGUUCUCCUCACUAAGAGACCUAAUGGAGUUUGCCUCACUGAUGGUCAAAAAUUCAAGGACUUAGGUGAAGAAAUUCAUUCUGGGUCUCAGAGUUAACAUAUAUAUGAAGUGGGAAUCAAAAUCAAUUUUUUCACUUUCAGGUUCCUUAUGAGAAAAGUGCCUUUCCAACAAUGAAGUAAUAUAAAAAAGCAGUUAUUAAGAAUUACAGUGUUCCUGGUUAUUGG
Molecule: long non-coding RNA, 236 nt
Filed under: Monodelphis domestica (gray short-tailed opossum)
Lineage: Eukaryota; Metazoa; Chordata; Mammalia; Didelphimorphia; Didelphidae
Description: lncRNA (ENSMODG00000040756.1)
Source: RNAcentral